This 263-nucleotide signal recognition particle RNA is filed under the name Thermosipho sp. (in: thermotogales). Its description in RNAcentral is "Thermosipho sp. (in: Bacteria) signal recognition particle sRNA large type". It matches the Rfam family "Bacterial large signal recognition particle RNA". From Rfam's summary of the family: The signal recognition particle (SRP) is a universally conserved ribonucleoprotein involved in the co-translational targeting of proteins to membranes. Lineage: Bacteria; Thermotogati; Thermotogota; Thermotogae; Thermotogales; Fervidobacteriaceae. The record is from RNAcentral.
CCGUGCUAAGCGGGGGGUUGGUGGUCCCCUGAACCCGAAACCCACCGAGCGGGGCUUAAUUCCUCUGCUAAGGUCUUUGGGGUCUGAAAACGGUUUUUGAUUGGGUGUUGAAAGCUGGGUCCUACGCAACAACUACCUGUGAACCGGGUCAGGUCCGGAAGGAAGCAGCCCUAAGCAGGCAAGUGUGUGCCGUAGGGGUGCCCAGCUGGAGCCUUAAUCAAAAGUACGCUCAGGUCCCAAUUGAUCGAAGCAGGGGUGCACGG